Molecule: long non-coding RNA, 966 nt
Organism: Tripterygium wilfordii
Lineage: Eukaryota; Viridiplantae; Streptophyta; Magnoliopsida; Celastrales; Celastraceae
Exons: 2
Source: RefSeq, a predicted model, not a curated record
GGCUUCGCCGUUUCCACACAUUGCAUUGCACCGCACAGAACUUUUCAAUUCUCUCUCUCUCCCUCGAAAGAGUUCAGACAGGAAAGGUUUUUCAGAGAGAGAAAUGAAAGAAAGGCAUGGAUAUCUGCAAGGUAAUCCGCAAGUGGAAUUCAAGUACUAUUGCUUCAACAGUACUAUUUCAGGAAAUAUUGCACGUGAUCAUGAAGAAGUUGAAGAAGAAGAAGAAGAAGACUACUGUACUAUGGAUGCGAUGAUCUACUUCUUAUUGGCCAAGCAAUUGGGUUGUUCAUGAUGUUAAUUGGGUGCUAUCCUACCUGAGCUUGAUAUAUUUUAUUUGUUUUUUUUAAUUUUCUUGUUUAUUCUGAUCUUAAUUUCAUUUUCCUUUUCCUUUCUUCCAUUUUCUUGACCUUGUAAGACCUUUUCUUGACCUUGUAAGACCCCACUUUGUAUUUCUUGUUUUUGUUUUCCGUCUCCCAUUGAACUCUACACAAUCAUCCAUUGAUGUAGAGAUCAAUCAUUUCUCUUUCUUCUUCCCUUCCAACUCAUCUUCUCCUUCCUUAUCUAUCCCUCCUGAGCUGCCUCAACCCCCUCCAUAUACCAUUCAUGGAGAGACUAAUUACUUUAAGUUCCCAUGUGGGUUUACUUUCUUACCUUCUUUUACAUGCAUGUACCAUACUUUUGUGUUGUUUUGUAGCUGUAAAAAACCUCGCUUUCUUAUUCUGUUAAGGACAGCAAUGCUUAGAUUGGUAUUAUGUGUGUUUUGCAGUUAGGCUUCAGUUUUUUUUUUCUUUGUCAUAUGUGUUGUUUGCCUGAGAAGAAUUGUAAGUGCACUAGAGAGAAUAAUAUCUCAUCUGUUCUUUUUUCAGAUUAUUAUGAUGAUGAUCAUGAGUUCCUCUCGUGACCACUCUCUGCCCUCUCUUGUAGUCUUAUAUGUGUACCUUAUUUUCCACUGUAUUAUUGGGUCCC